Arabidopsis thaliana (thale cress) is the source of this 635-nucleotide RNA transcript. RefSeq lists it as uncharacterized. The record is from RefSeq. Lineage: Eukaryota; Viridiplantae; Streptophyta; Magnoliopsida; Brassicales; Brassicaceae. The transcript has 2 exons.
UUAGCUUUCCAUCUACUUUCUUAUAAUUGAAAAAGAAGUUGGUGAAACAUAUGCUCAUUAUUAAGAGUUGUAUCACACCAUAUAUAUGCAUAAGGUUUGGGCAGAGACUUAAAGUAGAGAUACAGAGUCAGAGAGCAAUGAUCCUUAUGCCUUCUCAGGCGACUCAUCAUCACUUCAUCAUCCAUCGAUCAAAGGUCGAAGAAGAAGUGAAGAUAUAUCAACUGAUUAUAUGUUUGGAGAUGAUUAAUAAGAAUCAUAGAAAAUGAUCAGCGAUAUGGAGUAAUCCUAUAACAACUGGUUCGAGUUUGAUCGAAUCGAUAUUUCUUUUCUUUCGAUUGCUUCGAAUAAAAAGUUGGAUCAUGGUUUGAGGCAAGUAAAAGAUCACCAGUUCCCCCUUUCACAACUUCAAUCUCUUUUGUCAAGGAUUAUAUUAUUACAUACUCUAUGUUUUAAUUUUCAACCAAAUUCAGGUUCUUAUUUUGUCAGAUUAUAUGAACUAAUAUUCAAUUCUAUAAUUGUUAUUUUUGUAUGACCAUUACGUGGUAUAAAAUCUCUUUAGCUAGUAUUCACUGAUACUCGAUUAAAAAUUCCGUAUGUAUCAAACAACAUAUUAUUGCUCCAUUGAAGCGGAUGAU